Molecule: non-coding RNA, 72 nt
Organism: Phrynosoma platyrhinos (Desert horned lizard)
Lineage: Eukaryota; Metazoa; Chordata; Lepidosauria; Squamata; Phrynosomatidae
Source: the annotation of a GenBank genome assembly
GGCAGCAUGGUUUAGUGGUUUGAGUGUAAGACUAGGACACUGAAGAUUGGGAUUCAAUUCCGUGUUCAGCCA